RNAcentral lists this ribosomal RNA (445 nucleotides) under uncultured bacterium. RNAcentral's name for it is "partial 16S ribosomal RNA". It matches the Rfam family "Bacterial small subunit ribosomal RNA", at positions 354 to 796 of the family's 1533-position model. The record is from RNAcentral.
GUGAGGAAUAUUGCGCAAUGGAGGCAACUCUGACGCAGCCAUGCCGCGUGCAGGAAGAAGGCGCUACGCGUUGUAAACUGCUUUUAACCGGGAAGAAACCCCAGGACGUGUCCUGGGUUGACGGUACCGGAGGAAUAAGCACCGGCUAACUUCGUGCCAGCAGCCGCGGUAAUACGAAGGGUGCAAGCGUUAUCCGGAUUCAUUGGGUUUAAAGGGUGCGUAGGCGGAGCGUUAAGUCAGUGGUGAAAUCCUGCAGCUUAACUGUAGUCUUGCCAUUGAUACUGGCGCUCUUGAGUGCGCUUGAAGUGGGCGGAAUGUGCCGUGUAGCGGUGAAAUGCUUAGAUAUGGCACAGAACACCAAUUGCGAAGGCAGCUCACUAAGGCGAUACUGACGCUGAGGCACGAAAGCGUGGGGAUCGAACAGGAUUAGAAACCCGGGUAGUCC